GACGAACGCUGGCGGCGUGCCUAAUACAUGCGAGUCGAACGCUUCUUUCCUCCCGAGUGCUUGCACUCAAUUGGAAAGAGGAGUGGCGGACGGGUGAGUAACACGUGGGUAACCUACCCAUCAGAGGGGGAUAACACUUGGAAACAGGUGCUAAUACCGCAUAACAGUUUAUGCCGCAUGGCAUAAGAGUGAAAGGCGCUUUCGGGUGUCGCUGAUGGAUGGACCCGCGGUGCAUUAGCUAGUUGGUGAGGUAACGGCUCACCAAGGCCACGAUGCAUAGCCGACCUGAGAGGGUGAUCGGCCACACUGGGACUGAGACACGGCCCAGACUCCUACGGGAGGCAGCAGUAGGGAAUCUUCGGCAAUGGACGAAAGUCUGACCGAGCAACGCCGCGUGAGUGAAGAAGGUUUUCGGAUCGUAAAACUCUGUUGUUAGAGAAGAACAAGGGCGUUAGUAACUGAACGUCCCCUGACGGUAUCUAACCAGAAAGACACGGCUAACUACGUG
Molecule: ribosomal RNA, 508 nt
Filed under: uncultured bacterium
Lineage: Bacteria
Description: partial 16S ribosomal RNA
Rfam family: Bacterial small subunit ribosomal RNA
Source: RNAcentral